RNAcentral lists this long non-coding RNA (339 nucleotides) under Ictidomys tridecemlineatus (thirteen-lined ground squirrel). RNAcentral describes it as "lncRNA (ENSSTOG00000031163.1)". Lineage: Eukaryota; Metazoa; Chordata; Mammalia; Rodentia; Sciuridae. The record is from RNAcentral.
AGGUUUAAUCAUAGCUAAGGUUUCUUUUCCCAUAGAUGAUCUCCAGGAAAGCAACUUGAAAACUCCUGAAUUUACAUCAAGUUCAAAUGAGAAAGAUAAGCAUUUGGCUAAAUUAUUUGAUGAGAUUCUCCUGCAGGUGCUUUCCAAAGACCCAUACUACACCAGUUUGGUUGAAGGAGGGACCGCAGUCACCGGGAGCCACUUGAAUGAAAGAGCCCGUGAUGUCUGGAAUUCUCCCAAACCAGAAUAUUUUCCUGGCACUGUGUAUCAAAUCUCAGAAAACGGUAAAUAAAAAUGGAUAACAUUGGAGUGGGGGCAAUAAGGAAUAGUUCUUUUUCC